Molecule: ribosomal RNA, 467 nt
Filed under: uncultured bacterium
Lineage: Bacteria
Description: partial 16S ribosomal RNA
Rfam family: Bacterial small subunit ribosomal RNA
Source: RNAcentral
GACGAACGCUGGCGGCGUGCUUAACACAUGCAAGUCGAACGGAAAGGCCCUGCUUUUGUGGGGUGCUCGAGUGGCGAACGGGUGAGUAACACGUGAGUAACCUGCCCUUGACUUUGGGAUAACUUCAGGAAACUGGGGCUAAUACCGGAUAGGAGCUCCUGCUGCAUGGUGGGGGUUGGAAAGUUUCGGCGGUUGGGGAUGGACUCGCGGCUUAUCAGCUUGUUGGUGGGGUAGUGGCUUACCAAGGCUUUGACGGGUAGCCGGCCUGAGAGGGUGACCGGCCACAUUGGGACUGAGAUACGGCCCAGACUCCUACGGGAGGCAGCAGUGGGGAACAUUGCACAAUGGGCGGAAGCCUGAUGCAGCAACGCCGCGUGCGGGAUGACGGCCUUCGGGUUGUAAACCGCUUUCGCCUGUGACGAAGCGUGAGUGACGGUAAUGGGGAAAGAAGCACCGGCUAACUACGU